This 253-nucleotide ribosomal RNA is filed under the name uncultured bacterium. RNAcentral's name for it is "partial 16S ribosomal RNA". It matches the Rfam family "Bacterial small subunit ribosomal RNA", at positions 524 to 776 of the family's 1533-position model. The record is from RNAcentral.
UACGGGGGGAGCAAGCGUUGUUCGGAUUUACUGGGCGUAAAGGGCGCGUAGGCGGCGUAACAAGUCACUUGUGAAAUCUCCGGGCUUAACUCGGAACGGUCAACUGAUACUGUCGGACUAGAGUGCAGAAGGGGCAACUGGAAUUCUCGGUGUAGCGGUGAAAUGCGUAGAUAUCGAGAGGAACACCUGCGGCGAAGGCGGGUUGCUGGGCUGACACUGACGCUGAGGCGCGAAAGCUAGGGGAGCGAACGGG